UUUGGGUACUCUAGCCAAGCUGAGAUUAGCAGAGUCUAACCUAAGCUUUCUUUCUCUGAGUCUUACCUAGUUUUGUCUUUGCUCUUCGGCAGGAAGCCUUUCUGAGAAACUGGAUUCCUGGACCUUCUCUCCCUGGAAGGAUUAACUGAGUACACGCUGAGCAGGGGAAAACCUCUACAUGAUCCAUUCAAGUCCUCAUUGAAAAUCCAAGUGACAGUCCACUCCUUUACUCCUCUGGGUCCAACGCUUGUCUAUCUGUCCGCCCUCCAACGAGUUCCCUCUUCUCUGGAUUAACCCCCACAAGCUGGAUUCAAGGAUUGUCAUGAGCCCCCUCAAAUGAAGAGUCCACCUCUGGAUAACCAGCUGACAGUCCGCUCCUUUACUCCUCUGGGUCCAACGUUAGCCUGCCUGUCCGCUCUCCAACGAGUUCCUUCUUCUCUGGAUUAAACCCCACAAACUGGAUCCAAGGAAUAACAAAGAGCCCCCCAAAGCAGUUUCCGGUUCCGGUUCACCAGUCUGCUGAGGUCCAACAUCAUAACUCAGCAGAAUAUCUCUCUCCGUCUGUGUUUCUUUGCAAACCUUCAAUAAACCUG
Molecule: long non-coding RNA, 593 nt
Organism: Cyprinodon tularosa
Lineage: Eukaryota; Metazoa; Chordata; Actinopteri; Cyprinodontiformes; Cyprinodontidae
Exons: 3
Source: RefSeq, a predicted model, not a curated record